GAUGAACGCUAGCUACAGGCUUAACACAUGCAAGUCGAGGGGAAACGACAUCGAAAGCUUGCUUUUGAUGGGCGUCGACCGGCGCACGGGUGAGUAACGCGUAUCCAACCUGCCCAUCACUUGGGAAUAACCUUGCGAAAGUAAGACUAAUACCCAAUGACAUCCCACGAAGACAUCUGAAUGGGAUUAAAGAUUUAUCGGUGAUGGAUGGGGAUGCGUCUGAUUAGCUUGUUGGCGGGGUAACGGCCCACCAAGGCAACGAUCAGUAGGGGUUCUGAGAGGAAGGUCCCCCACAUUGGAACUGGGACACGGUCCACACUCCUACGGGAGGCAGCAGUGAGGAAUAUUGGUCAAUGGGCGAGAGCCUGAACCAGCCAAGUAGCGUGCAGGAUGACGGCCCUAUGGGUUGUAAACUGCUUUUAUAAGGGAAUAAAGUGGGUCUCGUGAGACUUUUUGCAUGUACCUUAUGAAUAAGGACCGGCUAAUUCCGUG
RNAcentral lists this ribosomal RNA (492 nucleotides) under uncultured bacterium. RNAcentral's name for it is "partial 16S ribosomal RNA". It matches the Rfam family "Bacterial small subunit ribosomal RNA", at positions 28 to 507 of the family's 1533-position model. The record is from RNAcentral.